UGGGGAAUAUUGCACAAUGGGCGGAAGCCUGAUGCAGCGACGCCGCGUGGGGGAUGAAGGCCUUCGGGUUGUAAACUCCUUUCGACAGGGACGAAGCUUUUGUGACGGUACCUGUAUAAGAAGCACCGGCUUACUACGUGCCAGCAGCCGCGGUAAUACGGAGGGUGCGAGCGUUGUCCGGAAUUACUGGGCGUAAAGAGCUCGUAGGUGGUUUGUCGGGUCGUCUGUGAAAUUCCGGGGCUUAACUCCGGGCGUGCAGGGGAUACGGGCUGACUUGGGUGGUGUAAGGGUGGCUGGAAUUCCUGGUGUAGGGGGGAAAUGCGAAACUAUCAGGAGGAACACCGAUGGCGAAGGGAGGUCUCUGGGCAGUAACUGACGCUGGGGGGCGAAAGCAUGGGUAGCGAACAGG
RNAcentral lists this ribosomal RNA (409 nucleotides) under Actinomycetes bacterium. Its description in RNAcentral is "Actinobacteria bacterium partial 16S ribosomal RNA". It matches the Rfam family "Bacterial small subunit ribosomal RNA", at positions 355 to 776 of the family's 1533-position model. The record is from RNAcentral. Lineage: Bacteria; Bacillati; Actinomycetota; Actinomycetes.